This 451-nucleotide ribosomal RNA is filed under the name uncultured bacterium. RNAcentral's name for it is "bacterial SSU rRNA". It matches the Rfam family "Bacterial small subunit ribosomal RNA", at positions 29 to 524 of the family's 1533-position model. The record is from RNAcentral.
AACGAACGCUGGCGGCAGGCCUAAAACAUGCAAGUCGAGCGCUCCAGCAAUGGAGAGCGGCGCACGGGUGCGUAACGCGUGGGAAUGUGCCUCUGGGUGCGGAACAACACCGGGAAACUGGUGCUAAUACCGCAUGAUGACUUCGGUCCAAAGAUUUAUCGCCCAGAGAUCAGCCCGCGUCGGAUUAGGUAGUUGGUAGGGUAAUGGCCUACCAAGCCUACGAUCCGUAGCUGGUCUUAGAGGAUGAUCAGCCACACUGGAACUGAGACACGGUCCAGACUCCUACGGGAGGCAGCAGUUAGGAAUAUUGGACAAUGGGCGAAAGCCUGAUCCAGCCAUGCCGCGUGAAUGAUGAAGGCCUCGGUUGUAAAGUUCUUUCAGGUGUGACGAUAAUAGACGGUAACACCAGAAGAAGACUCCGGCUAAACUACGUGCCAGCAGCCGCGGUAAU